GCAAGAACUUGUGGACCUUAUAAGUCUUUGGAUACUACUAAUGAUGGAUGUGAAGGAGGCUUGAUGGAUUAUGCUUUUGAAUGGGUUAUAAACAAUGGUGGGGUUAGUGCCGAAGCUAAUUGCCCAUAGCCCCAUACAGUGCUACAGAUGGUACCUGCUGCAAUUUCACCAAGAAAUGGUGUGGACUGCAUUCUGCACAUACUUUUCUCUUCAUCUUUGGUAAGUUUUCGUUGCAUAUACUUCUUUAUUAGCCUUUCAAUUCAUAGUAAGAAUGAGUGAUUUUCUAACUUAGUCCAUUUAAGCAUUAAAGGAUGAUUUGUAAAGCAGUAUAUUAAUUAGAUCUCAAGCAAUUAUACAAUUUCAAACAAUAAUGUUUUUUUUUUCUUUUAUAAUACACACAAAGAAUACAUACAAAAGAAUAUUGUACAAUUUUUUCAAAUAACUACAACAUAUUAAUUUCAAAUAAGUAAAUGUAAUUUACAUAGUAAAAUGGUAGAACUUUUUUUGCUGCAAUAGUUAUAUGGCAGAGAUCAAAGACCAGAGGUAAAUGGCACAGUUGUUUCACGUAACCACAUGGAGCCGGUAAGAAGUCCAUUAACGGUGAACCGUGAUGCUUCAGCGGGGCUUGUUAUCACAUGAAACCCAGGCCACUGUACUCUAUUUAUCACAGAUGAACCAGGCCCAGAGUUCCCAUACUCUCCAUAAUACAAAGUGUCAAGAGCAAAAUCAGUACCAUCCCACGAAGACCAUCCUAACGGGCUAACCAAGGUGUCCAUGAAAGUUUUCAAGACCACCACUCUUGAGUAUUGUUGCCAGGGCCUGCCCAAGAAGGUGUUGUGCUUCUCAACAACAGGCUUGAGGUCCGGAGCCGCCCUGAUUUCAGAAUUGUGGAUAGUGAUUCCAGUGUUCUGGAAUGGGUCGUCUCGUCCUUGAGCUGUGAUCAUGUUUGCUUGGCCAUCUAAAGGCUUUCUUGCGAAAAUCUUGCAGUUCUGAAAUACCACUGCGGCGUUCCCAAAGAUGAAGUCUACGGUGCCAUAGAUUUGGCAUUGUCUAUAAAAUUGGCGUUGUGCAUGAACCAUGAGGGUGUCUUGAUAACCUAAUAUAGCACAUCGGUAGAAGACUGAGAGGUCUGAGGCUGACCGGAGCGCCACGGCUUGACCCUUUUGAGGACCCGCAGUGUUUUGGAAGCUGCAUUCAGAGCACCUUGGACAGUCCUGUAGUUUCCCGAACCAUCUUUUGCUACCACCAAAUUUGGCUUCACCGUAGAAGACUGCACAAGUUUCCUCUCAUGCCUAGAAAACCAGCUUGGAAACACAUCUUCCUCUGUUUCUGAGGUGUGAUAUUUUGAAGCAUUUUGUUUCAGGAAAUCAACAUUGAUAGCUAAGCUGUUCCUUAUCAUCUCAGUGACGUUACUGCUUCCUGUUGGCACCAUGAAAUCUUGAGCAUUGAGAUCCACUGCCCCUGUUCUACAUGUUCUGAUAUUUGUGAGAGCUGUUGUGAGCCAAGUUUGUGUAUCAACUGGUGAGAAACCCUUUUUCAGAUCAAGACUUUCAAUUGCACGAUUGAGAUGAAAGAUGGUAUUUUCAUACAGCUUCAAACAAUCACCAUGUACAGUCCUGUGUUUAUCUGUGACCAUGUUUUGUUGAGAAUCAUGUGCUUCCCUUUGCAUGUUAAGUGCUUGUUUUAAAGCCAACUGAACAAGCAUUCCUCGAAAUUCAGUUUUGUGUUUGAUUGUGGAAUGGGGGUUCAUAUGAGUAAUAUAGUGUUUGCAUGGUUCAGGGUGGGGGGUUAGGUUGCACCACCAACCUAUGUUGCUGGAGGAAGGUGAAGGUUCUCUUCUUGAUGAGGCUAUUGAGAAAAUUGAAGGUGGACUGCGGAGUUGACAAAAAAACGUGUUGGCUGAUUAAAUUGAAAUUGAUAAUCAAGAAUGACACAGAUACAAGCCAUGAAUGCAAUUGCAAGAAAGAAUUAAAGAGGAAUAAAAAUCUUAUCAGGUAGAAAAAAUAAUAUUACUCGUGGAUUGCUUGAAUUUGUAUUUGCUUAAUAGUUCAGAUAGUGGCUGCAAAAGUCUAAUAGUAAUUGCAAGAACAGGUGUGCUGUGGUCAUCACAGAGCAACAAUAUCUGAAUUGGUUCCUUAAUUAUGAAUGCACUUGUGACAGCUAAUUAACUAUAGAAACACAGAAUUGGACAAAGAUUUUGAGGAAAAUGGUUGAGUUUAGCUGAAGUUAAUUGUGUUGUUGUUUC
Long non-coding RNA from Lotus japonicus, 2245 nucleotides. RefSeq lists it as uncharacterized. The record is from RefSeq and is a predicted model, not a curated record. The transcript has 4 exons. Lineage: Eukaryota; Viridiplantae; Streptophyta; Magnoliopsida; Fabales; Fabaceae.